This 329-nucleotide long non-coding RNA is filed under the name Sus scrofa (pig). RNAcentral's name for it is "lncRNA (ENSSSCG00040014473.1)". The record is from RNAcentral. Lineage: Eukaryota; Metazoa; Chordata; Mammalia; Artiodactyla; Suidae.
CGUCACCUCACUCGUCUUCUCUGGGCUCCGGGAAGCGGUUUGGGAACCUGGGGGGUCUGCUCGGAAAGUGAAGGAGGCGCACCUGGGAACUUCAGAGCAGAGACAGAAGAACUCAGAAAGGAGCAGAUCCUAGAUGCGUAAGGUCAGAAGUUGUUCUUAAUCUCCCUGCUGAGAAUGAGCCAGUCUUGGAAAUGACGCCACCUCUAGAAGCCAGCAGACUUAUGACACUUGGGAGUUUGGACAGCCUUGAGAAGAACAAGGUGAGCUGGGUGGCUUAGGGACAGGCCACUUAGGAAAGGCCACUUUCUUGGAGACCUUGUGAAGGCGGG